AUUGAACGCUGGCGGCAGGCCCAACACAUGCAAGUCGAACGGUAACAGGAAGAAGCUUGCUUCUUUGCUGACGAGUGGCGGACGGGUGAGUAAUGUCUGGGAAACUGCCUGAUGGAGGGGGAUAACUACUGGAAACGGUAGCUAAUACCGCAUAACGUCGCAAGACCAAAGAGGGGGACCUUCGGGCCUCUUGCCAUCGGAUGUGCCCAGAUGGGAUUAGCUAGUAGGUGGGGUAACGGCUCACCUAGGCGACGAUCCCUAGCUGGUCUGAGGGGAUGACCAGCCACACUGGAACUGAGACACGGUCCAGACUCCUACGGGAGGCAGCAGUGGGGAAUAUUGCACAAUGGGCGCAAGCCUGAUGCAGCCAUGCCGCGUGUAUGAAGAAGGCCUUCGGGUUGUAAAGUACUUUCAGCGGGGAGGAAGGGAGUAAAGUUAAUACCUUUGCUCAUUGACGUUACCCGCAGAAGAAGCACCGGCUAACUCCGUG
Molecule: ribosomal RNA, 490 nt
Filed under: uncultured bacterium
Lineage: Bacteria
Description: partial 16S ribosomal RNA
Rfam family: Bacterial small subunit ribosomal RNA
Source: RNAcentral